Molecule: non-coding RNA, 5278 nt
Organism: Camellia sinensis
Lineage: Eukaryota; Viridiplantae; Streptophyta; Magnoliopsida; Ericales; Theaceae
Source: RefSeq, a predicted model, not a curated record
AUAUUGUGCGGAAGUAUUUUCAGUUGCUCUUUUUUCUUGUUCUUUAUUCUUCCCUUUUUGUUUCUUACUACUCCUCCUUUCUUUCUUUUCUUCACUGCAACACAGUUUCAAUGAUUGAUUCAUUCAAGAAGCAUGCUUGCAUCCUUUUCUCUAUUCAUCCGUUAACUUAACUAAAGUUUUAUUGUUGAUUCAAGUGGAGCAUAUUUCAUAAUGCAGUUGUGCUUUCAGCUUUAGCACAAAUAAAUAAUCAUGGUGCAUACUCUCAUGUGAAGAAUGUUAAUGUUUUAUAGUUUGUGAUAUUUGGAACUGAAUAUUUUUGUAUAGUAUGGAAUAUGGAUUGUAAUGGCAAGUAUUUUUUGAUGUUCGGUUGACCCUUUUGGUUACAUCCAAUUAAAUGAAAAUGCAAACACUUCCAUCAAACUGAGGCAUAGCAAUAAUCUUCCAUGGUUUUAAAUGAAAGUUCUUUCCUGGGUGCCACUAAUAUAUUGUGGAUUACUUUUCUUAAUACUCAAUAAGCAUGUAUGACCAUUUUUUGGGAUUGUGCUUUUUAUGCAACUUUGUUUUGGUUAUUUCUUUGGACAGUAAAUGUAAAUGCUAGGAUCUUUGAGAAUAAGAUUGAAGAGGCGGCCUCUUGAUGGAUAAAAUUUGUUAUCCAUCAUCCUUUUGGGUUUCAGUCUCCUCCCCCUUUAGAGGAAUUCCUUUUAUUAUUAUUAUUAUUAUUGGGGAAAUCUCAAAAUCAGUUGGACAGUGGGAAGCAAAUCUCAUUUUCUCUGUGGUGCAAGUCUAUCAUGUGUGGGGUGCAAGUCCUUUCUUGUAUAGGGUGCAAGUCUUUCCUGUGCACCCAAAAGAUUCCCCUAUAUAUUUUUCAUUUUUUAUUUUAUAUGAGGGCAGUGUGUGUUAUAUAUUGUGCAAGAUUUAUCUUUGUUUUUGUUUUUCAUUUCUUGGACGACCCCAUAAUGUUUUGUUUUUCCCGCUAAUGAAACAAAAUGUGAUGCAGAAUAGGAUUAAAGAACACACAUUUAUUAAAGGAUGGGAAUUCACCAUGGCUGUUGUCAUAGGGUCAAUUUUCAGCCACAAAUUUUUGCUUGCAAUGGUACUAAGUCACAGUACUUAGUCUCAGCCAAACAAUGCAACACUCACCUACACAACAAGGUUUGACAAGUAAUAUAGAGUUCACAGACACAGCAGCAAUUAUGGGAAACCCAACCUUUAUUAUUGCACCAAUAAUACAAAGGAAAGUCAAGGCAACUCUACAACACUUGAUGAAUUUCGAGUGCCAUAGCCAUGCCUAUUUAAAGGCUUACAAUCAGAACAUUUGAAUUCGAAUAGGCAACCAAAACAUAAGGAAAACAUGCCACAUGGCAUGAUAGUUGACACCCCAACUGCCAAAGGGUUUAGGACAAAUUUGAAGUAAGCCAACAUGUGUAACUGCCACAUUUCAACCUUCCCUUAUCCUUGCCAGCAUGUCUUUGGUCUGCAUAACCACCCCUAUAUUUUAGGCUUGCCUUUGUCUUGCCUCUAGACAAUUUGAACCGCCCAUGUCCAAGCCAAACGCAGCCUUGAGUGGCUGUUGUUUGUCUUGGUCAAGCCUAAUGCGCCUUGUUUUCCAGCCAAGUGCCAAUCAUGCCUUGUUGUCUAGCCAAGUCAAGCCAUCUAAUUGUAUUGAACCUCCAAGUGUGUUGCAGCCUACGAUUCAAGUCACGUUGGUACCUUGCAUCUUGUUAAGUGUUAGGGUAAUUAUGUAAUUUGUGUUAACCUAUUAUUAUUAUAAAUAGUUGUGUGGAAGGGGUGAACCCUAAGUUUUAGUUUAAUAUUAUUUUUCAGCCGCCCCUCUCUCUCUCUUUCAUUCUUCAACUUCUUCUAUACAUUCAACUUGGUAUUGGAGCAACAUCUUCCUCCUUGAAGAUUGUUCCUUUCGUUUCUCUCAUUUUUUUCCCUUUAUCAGUUGUGUAAAAAAAAAAAAAAAAAAAUUCCUGUGUGCUUUUAAUUUAAUAGGUUUAUACCCUAUAAUUUUCUUUUAAUUUUUUGCUCAUUGUUUGAUUGGUUUUUCAAUUUUUUCGGUUUUUCAUCAAAACUGGGUGAUUUUUCAAAAGUCUUUGCUUGAGCCCCUUUUGGCUGGAAUUUUUUCCUCCCCCUCUCUUCCUUUGGAGUCGAUUGGAACCUUAAAGGGGUUUGUUGUCCAUGUUUUGAGGUUUUUUGAUACUUCCUUUGAGUUUUUGUGAGUUUUGGAUGGUCUGCUUCGGUUUUCUUGCUUCAAGUUGAUCUGGUUGCUUUGUUCUGGGGUAAUCUUGCACUGUUUCAGCCUUUGAAGGUGAGUUGCCGUGUUGGUUGGGUGUUUUCUGGAUUUGAUUGAUAUCUUACUUGUGUUUUUGCAUCUUGUUUCUCUCAUCACAUGGCUGAAAGCAAGGGUCAAGCAUCUAAGGCCAAAGAAGAGAGUGGGCUGAGUCGUGUCUUGCUAUUGUUGCUCGCCGUUUGAUUGGCUAUAUUACCGGUAGCAUCAAGCAACCUGAUGCGGAUGAAGCUUUGUCCACUCAAUGGAUUUUUGAGAAUGCUUUGGUUAUGACUUGGCUGAUCAACUCUAUAGAGCCUACCAUUAGUCGGACUUUCUCUUAUUGGAUAUUGCUCACAAGAUUUGGACAACUGCCGCUCAGAUGUAUUCUCAAAAGGGUAAUGAUGCACAGGUCUAUGAGUUGAGAAAGAAGAUUAGGGGCUUGGAUCAGAGGGAUCGUUCUCUUGCAGUAUACUAUGCUGUGUUGAGUGGCUUGUGGCAGAAAGUUGAUUACUACCAGAGUUUCCUGGUUGUUUGUUUCAAGGAUGCCACUAUGUUUCAGCAGUCUGUGGAGAAUGAGCGUGUUUAUGACUUUCUUGCUGGCCUGAAUUUGGAGUAUGAUCAGAUUUGUGUUCAAUUGUUGGGCUGCUCUCCGUUUCCCACCUUGUGCAAGGCUUAUGCUCUUGUUCAGUAGGAGGAGAGUCGGCGUAGAGCUAUGGUGCAAACCUCUAUUCAGGAUCAGUCUACGUUGGUUGCAGCUCCUAAGUCAUGUGAUACUCAGCUUAGUUAGCCACAGGUUGGUAGUAAGGGUCCCUUGUUUGAUCAGGAUCGGUUGAAGUGUGAUUAUUGUGGGAAAGACAAACAUGAUAGGGAGCACUGUUGGAAGUUGCAUGGUCGUCUUACUCAAGGCCGUGGUCAUGGUAGUAGUGUUUGUCCUCAAGCUCAUGUUUCCGAGAUUCCUGCUAGUGCCCCCAGUGAUACUGGUCCUAUUUCCCAAGAUGAGCUUCACACUCUCAUACGUUUGAUGGCCCAGCUUGAUUCUUCAUCUACUUUAGCUCUUUCUUCCUCUGCUUUUUUCAACUUUGCCCACACAGGGGGAGAGUGUUGCAGAUGAGAUUGUAGAUGAGGCGAUGUCAUAUCAACAUGAGUUAUCCUUUUUCCUUCCCAGUCAGCGGGCUGUUAUUUGUGGUGAGAGGUAACCUAAGAGUUCUGUUGAUGAGGAGCCUGCAUCGGUGGUCGUUUGGACCGGGUUGAUGUUAAGACUUAUUUUUGGCGUCAGAAAAAGUAGAUUUCUCCCGUGCUACCAAGUCAAUCAUCAUCCCUCAUGGCAGUUCUAUAUCCAGCUUCCGCUGAAUCUACAGGUAAUGAUCCCUAGCCUAAUUCUUCACCAGUUGUUGGUAGUCUUAUUGUUGAUGAUUUGAGUCUCCUUAUUGCUCUUAGAAAGGGGGUUAGAGCAUGUACUCAACACCCCAUUUCUUUGUUUUUAGCCUAAUUCUUUGUUUUUUUUAUGACUUGCUCACCCAAAAAAAAAAAGCACCCCAUUUCUAAAUUUGUGUCAUAUAAUUCAUUUUCUUCUACAUAUCGUACCUUUGUUUCGUCUCUGUCUUCUGUGUGUAUCCCAUAGGGUUGGAAAGAAGCUAUCAAUGAUCCUAAGUGAAAAAUAAUUAUGGUAGAAGAGACACAAGCUCUGAGCAAAAAUAACACUUGGGAGUUGGUUUCUCUUCUUAAUGGAAAAAAAAUCAGUAGGGUGUAAGUGGGUGUUCACCAUUAAACAAAAAAUAGAUGGGAUGAUUGAACGGUACAAAGUAAGACUAGUGGUUAAGGGAUUUACCAAGACAUGGAAUUGACUAUUAAGAAACUUUUGCCCCUAUAGCGAAGCUAAAUUCCAUUUGAGCUAUUCUUUCAUGUGCUGCUAACUUGGGAUGGCCUUUACAACAAUCAAAUGUGAAGAAUGCCUUUCUUUAUGGUGAUUUGGAGGAGGAAUUACAUAUGGAUGUACCUCCAGGAUUCUCGUCUCGGUCUAAACCAAACCAAACCAAACCAAACUAAACCUUAAGUCUCAUCAAAUGGGGUCGGCUGUAUGAAUCAUUCUUCUCCAUUCGACUCUAUCCAAGGCCAUUUCGUUAGUCAGAUUAAGGAGAUUCAUAUCUCUAUUUACUACAGUAGUCCACGUCAAUCUAGGCAUACCCCUUCCCCUAACAUUACCAUCUACUAUUACUGUAUCCUUCUCUUAACUACUGCCUUUGUAUAUAUGACCAAACCAUCUCAAUUUAUUCUCUCUUAACUUAUCUUCUAUCGGUAAUACUCUUACCCAUUCUUGAAUAUACUCAUUCCUAACUCUGUCUUUUCUGGUCUUGCCACACAUAAGUAUCCUCAUCUUAUUUACAUGUUGUUUCUUAGUUGCCCAACAUUCUGUCCCAUACAAUAUCGCUAGUCUAAUAGCCAUUUUAUAGAACUUUCCUGUUUAGUCUAAUGAGUACUCGUUUAUCGCAUAGUAUUCUAGACGCACUCCUCCACUUAAGCCAUCCUGCCUUAAUUCUAUGGACCAUUUCCGCUCCAAUCUUUCCAGUCAUUGUGAUAAUCGAUCCUAAAUAACGAAAAUGUUCACUCUUAGGUAAUUCUUGGUUAUCAAUCUUCACUUCUCCUCUACUUCUGUUGUGACUGUUACUAAAAUUACUCUAUAUAUACUCUGUCUUAGUUCUGCUUAUCCUAAAUCCUUUUAGUCUCAUCCACUAACACGAUAUCAUUUGCUAAAAGCAUACACUAUGGCACAUCAUCUUGAAUUUUGCGCGUCAACUCAUCUAUAACUAAAGCGAAGAGAUGUUUAUCAAAAAAAAAAAAAAAAACACUAAAGCGAAAAGAUAAGGGCUUAAGGUUGAUCCUUGGUGUAACCCUACAAUAAUUGGAAAUUCACUCGUCUCUCUAGGAGGCGAUCUAAUAGUGGUUACCACACCUUCAUACAUAUCCCUAAUCACAUCAAUGUAAGCUUUUGUCACCCCUUUCUUCUCU